GUGGGGAAUAUUGGGCAAUGGGGGAAACCCUGACCCAGCAACGCCGCGUGAAGGAAGAAGGCUUUCGGGUUGUAAACUUCUUUGACCAGGGACGAAAAAAAUGACGGUACCUGGAGAAUAAGCCACGGCUAACUACGUGCCAGCAGCCGCGGUAAUACGUAGGUGGCAAGCGUUGUCCGGAUUUACUGGGUGUAAAGGGCGCGUAGGCGGGAGAGCAAGUCAGGAGUGAAAUCUAUGGGCUUAACCCAUAAAUUGCUUUUGAAACUGUUUUUCUUGAGUGAUGGAGAGGCAAGCGGAAUUCCUAGUGUAGCGGUGAAAUGCGUAGAUAUUAGGAGGAACACCAGUGGCGAAGGCGGCUUGCUGGACAUUAACUGACGCUGAUGCGCGAAAGCGUGGGGAGCAAACAGGAUUAGAAACCCGUGUAGUCC
This 428-nucleotide ribosomal RNA is filed under the name uncultured bacterium. RNAcentral's name for it is "partial 16S ribosomal RNA". It matches the Rfam family "Bacterial small subunit ribosomal RNA", at positions 354 to 796 of the family's 1533-position model. The record is from RNAcentral.